Molecule: long non-coding RNA, 229 nt
Filed under: Elaeis guineensis (African oil palm)
Lineage: Eukaryota; Viridiplantae; Streptophyta; Magnoliopsida; Arecales; Arecaceae
Description: long non-coding RNA (EGUI_LNC061927)
Source: RNAcentral
AGGGUUGUUGCAGACAUUUAAGAAGGAUCACCAGUUCCACAAGAAGAUGGUGAAUGUAAUGGGAGGAUCUUCUUCAAGUGGGUAUCGUCCCUUUAAGAAAGGAAAGAAGAGAAAGAAAAAUAAUAAGGUGCCAAGUGCUGGGAGUCAGACCAUAAAGUCUAUGUCCAAGUCUGACUUGAGUCAGGUAGAGUGCUUCUAUUGUAAGAAGCAAGAUUAUUGAAAGAGGAAC